Non-coding RNA from Cinara cedri, 221 nucleotides. The record is from the annotation of a GenBank genome assembly. Lineage: Eukaryota; Metazoa; Arthropoda; Insecta; Hemiptera; Aphididae.
UACUUAAACCGUAUUUUAUAAAAAUUGUCAACAGCUACAAUAAUAACUUAGGGUUUUUUUUUACGUUAAGGCAGUGGAUUUUUGUUUAAGGCCUCGCUUCGGUUAAGUGUAAUUACUUUCGUUUUGUUUUAUCCCUCAAACAAUUAACAUACACAAGAGGCUACGCCUUUUUCCAUUAGGAAAGGUCACCGUAGGGUACGGAGUCUUAAAUGGUCGAUUUU